RNAcentral lists this ribosomal RNA (425 nucleotides) under uncultured prokaryote. RNAcentral describes it as "bacterial SSU rRNA". It matches the Rfam family "Bacterial small subunit ribosomal RNA", at positions 355 to 796 of the family's 1533-position model. The record is from RNAcentral.
UGGGGAAUUUUCCGCAAUGGGCGAAAGCCUGACGGAGCAACGCCGCGUGAGGGAGGAAGGCUUUUGGGUUGUAAACCUCUUUUCUCAAGGAAGAUUUCAGACGGUACUUGAGGAAUCAGCAUCGGCUAACUCCGUGCCAGCAGCCGCGGUAAUACGGAGGGAGCUAGCGUUGUUCGGAAUUACUGGGCGUAAAGCGCGCGUAGGCGGCUAUUCAAGUCAGGGGUGAAAUCCCGGGGCUCAACCCCGGAACUGCCCUUGAAACUAGGUAGCUAGAAUACUGGAGAGGUGAGUGGAAUUCCGAGUGUAGAGGUGAAAUUCGUAGAUAUUCGGAAGAACACCAGUGGCGAAGGCGACUCACUGGACAGUCAUUGACGCUGAGGUGCGAAAGCGUGGGGAGCAAACAGGAUUAGAUACCCCGGUAGUCC